RNAcentral lists this ribosomal RNA (425 nucleotides) under uncultured bacterium. RNAcentral's name for it is "partial 16S ribosomal RNA". It matches the Rfam family "Bacterial small subunit ribosomal RNA", at positions 354 to 796 of the family's 1533-position model. The record is from RNAcentral.
GUGGGGAAUCUUGCGCAAUGGGCGAAAGCCUGACGCAGCCAUGCCGCGUGAAUGAUGAAGGUCUUAGGAUUGUAAAAUUCUUUCACCGGGGACGAUAAUGACGGUACCCGGAGAAGAAGCUCCGGCUAACUUCGUGCCAGCAGCCGCGGUAAUACGAAGGGGGCUAUCGUUGCUCGGAAUUACUGGGCGUAAAGGGCGCGUAGGCGGACAGCUUAGUCAGAGGUGAAAGCCCAGGGCUCAACCUUGGAAUUGCCUUUGAUACUGGCUGUCUUGAGUUUGGGAGAGGUGAGUGGAACUCCGAGUGUAGAGGUGAAAUUCGUAGAUAUUCGGAAGAACACCAGUGGCGAAGGCGACUCACUGGCCCAAUACUGACGCUGAGGCGCGAAAGCGUGGGGAGCAAACAGGAUUAGAAACCCUAGUAGUCC